RNAcentral lists this ribosomal RNA (1356 nucleotides) under uncultured marine eukaryote. RNAcentral describes it as "SSU rRNA". It matches the Rfam family "Eukaryotic small subunit ribosomal RNA", at positions 411 to 1779 of the family's 1831-position model. The record is from RNAcentral.
CACUUCUAAGGAAGGCAGCAGGCGCGCAAAUUACCCAAUCCUGACUCAGGGAGGUAGUGACAAGAAAUAACAAUAAACCGGCUUAUGCCGGUUUAAUUGGAAUGAGUACAAUUUAAACAUCUUAACGAGGAACAAUUGGAGGGCAAGUCUGGUGCCAGCAGCCGCGGUAAUUCCAGCUCCAAUAGCGUAUACUAAAGUUGUUGCAGUUAAAAAGCUCGUAGUUGGAUUUCUGUGGGGACGGAGCGGCCGGCCGCACAUCGCGGUUCGAGCUAGCGCUUUCCCUACAUCCUGCCGCGAACCGUGCUACCAUUAGUUUGGUGGCGCCGGGGAUCGGCUCGAUUACUUUGAGAAAAAUAGAGUGUUCAAAGCAGGCCACAUGCCUUGAAUAAGCUAGCAUGGAAUAAUAACUAAGGACUUCGGUUCUAUUUUGUUGGUGUUCGGGACUGAAGUAAUGAUUAAUAGGGACAGUUGGGGCGGUCUGUAUUCCAAAGCGAGAGGUGAAAUUCUUAGACCUUCGGAAGACAAACAGCUGCGAAAGCGUUCCGCAAGGAUGUUCCCUUUGAUCAAGAACGAAAGUUGGGGGAUCGAAGACGAUCAGAUACCGUCGUAGUCUCAACUAUAAACUAUACCAGCUAGGGAUCGGCCAACGUUAUUUCAUACCGACUUGGUCGGCACCUUAUGAGAAAUCAAAGCAUCUGGGUUCCGGGGGGAGUAUGGUCGCAAGGCUGAAACUUAAAGGAAUUGACGGAAGGGCACCGCCAGCCGUGGAGCCUGUGGCUUAAUUUGACUCAACACGGGAAAACUUACCAGGUCCAGACAUAGUAAGGAUUGACAGAUUGAUAGCUCUUUCUUGAUUCUGUGGGUGGUGGUGCAUGGCCGUUCUUAGUUGGUGGAGUGAUUUGUCUGGUUAAUUCCGUUAACGAACGAGACCCCAGCCUGCUAAAUAGCGCGCGUGAGCUUUGCUCGCGGCGAGCUUCUUAGAGGGACUCUGAUGCGCGAUAGCACAUGGAAGUUUGGGGCAAUAACAGGUCUGUGAUGCCCUUAGAUGUUCUGGGCCGCACACGGGCUACACUGGCGCCUGCAACGAGCAUAUCAGCUGGCCCGAGAGGGUCUUGGCUAAUCUUUUGAACCGGCGCCGUGCUUGGGAUUGACCUUUGCAAUUGUUGGUCAUGCAACGAGGAAUGCCUUGUAAACGCGAGUCAUCAGCUCGCAUUGAAUACGUCCCUGCCCUUUGUACACACCGCCCGUCGCUCCUACCGAUGAAUGUUCCGAUGAAAUUUUCGGAGAGCACCUGUGAACUUGGCUCUGCCUUGCGAACGGGAGGCUCAAAGUCACUUAAAUCUGAACAUUUCGAGG